GAGAAUCAAAUCAGGACCAGAGAGGGGAGCAACGACACUGUGGUUCACACGCCUACUUUUACAGCUGGGGAUCCUGUUGUAUACAGCAAUUUGACUGAAAACCCCAGUGUAACAGCUGAAGACUCGGUUAUAUACAGCUCUGUUUCUAAGCCAAAGUCUUCAGCAUCCAAAGUUAUUGAGCAGGACGUGACCUACAGCUCUGUAAAUUUUACUUCCAAGAAGAAAACUGUGUCUCCAAAAGACACUGAUGAGACCACAUACAGCACUGUUGUUCGCCAUAAAGGGGUGUGUAAUUGAAAAAUACUUUACAUAACUCUCGGUCAUUCAGAAAACACCAGUUUUCUUACUGCCACAUGACAACUGCUAAAGCUUUCUCUAUACAAUUCCUUCUACACCACUAGCACUUAAAUUCCUCAUGUGUGUAUAACACAACACAUUGAGAGACCUACACAAAUGGAUAAAUAUAAAUGUAUGAAACAAAAACAAUUGGUGUUUGCUAACAAAUUAAGCAAUUCCAGCAUAUAACACAUACAUGUUUUGAUAUAUAUAUACAUUUAUCACUACUGCAUAUACAAAAACAAGAAUUGAAAAUGUAAAACAUGCACACGCCUGAUGAAGAUUUAAUGCAAUUGUUUUAUUUGUCAAUCAUUACUGUUUAAUUUAAAAUAAGAAUGCAUCACUUAUUAUUGUGACAGUGGCUGUGUCUAUCAGAGACUUUUAUUUUAACUUUAUAGCUAAAUACUCAAUUUGUGGACACAUCGUUUUGCUUUUUAUAUUUACUUUUU
Long non-coding RNA from Clarias gariepinus (North African catfish), 785 nucleotides. RefSeq lists it as uncharacterized. NCBI's taxonomy places the organism in Eukaryota, Metazoa, Chordata, Actinopteri, Siluriformes, Clariidae. The transcript has 4 exons. The record is from RefSeq and is a predicted model, not a curated record.